Molecule: long non-coding RNA, 258 nt
Filed under: Physcomitrium patens
Lineage: Eukaryota; Viridiplantae; Streptophyta; Bryopsida; Funariales; Funariaceae
Description: long non-coding RNA (PPAT_LNC004081)
Source: RNAcentral
UAAUCUUGAUAUUAUGAUGAAGUAACUAUACUUUCUCACUUACAUUAAAUUGUGGUUGUUCCUUUCAAUGAGUAUCCAAGUUGGUCUUUUGUCAUUCUUGAGCUUCUUUUAAUUGCACCUUUAUUAUUACAUAUAGCUUUGACAAACUAUUUGCCAAACUUUUUACUGUAGGAUUAUCAACUUUUGAAAACUCAAAAAUAUCAAGUUAUAGAUAAUAAACAUGAUUGACAAAGAAAGGUGUUUGUUACGUAGAAAAAU